GAGACAGCAGCAGCCACGGGAAUACGGAGGGUGCAAGCGUUAAUCGGAAUUACUGGGCGUAAAGCGCACGCAGGCGGUCUGACAAGUCAGAUGUGAAAUCCCCGGGCUUAACCUGGGAACUGCAUUUGAAACUGUCAGGCUGGAGUCUUGUAGAGGGGGGUGGAAUUCCAGGUGUAGCGGUGAAAUGCGUAGAGAUCUGGAGGAAUACCGGUGGCGAAGGCGGCCCCCUGGACAAAGACUGACGCUCAGGUGCGAAAGCGUGGGGAGCAAACAGGAUUAGAUACCCCGGUAGUCCCUGUCUCUUAUAC
Molecule: ribosomal RNA, 308 nt
Filed under: uncultured bacterium
Lineage: Bacteria
Description: partial 16S ribosomal RNA
Rfam family: Bacterial small subunit ribosomal RNA
Source: RNAcentral